CUGGUGCGGUUGUAUCGUGCUACUGUGGACAGAGAGAGAGGACACUGAGCUGGAGCCCAGGCCUGCCACACCCCUUCCUUCUCUGCCCGUGCUGCCCUGUGAGCUGUUGCUCCCUAAAUAAAUGGAGGAGGGUCUGGGCUCAGGCCCACGGACUCUAUCCUGGCUGCUCCUGGGGGAGAAGGAGAGCAGCACCUCACUCCGCUGCCUGCAGGAGCCUCUGGUAGUGAGGGCUGACUGUCCCUCCUCUCCUCUGAAGCCUCUGCCCACAAGCUGAACUACCUCACAGAUAGGAAACAGGAAGCUCAGAGAGGGCAGUGGACUUGCCCAAGGUUACCCAGCAAAUUAGUGGUAGAGCUGAGGCUUGAAUCCAAGACUCUUAGAGCUAGACAAGUUGAAAGGUCAACAUGAUUUUACCAAUGUCUUAGGAAGCAGUGGGGGAUGCACAGGGGGACAGAGUAUGAGUAACGAUUCUGCCGGCUUCAGGCAGGCCUGGGGCUGUGGGCUGAAAUUGACCCAGAUGCGUCAGGGGCUUGGAUCAGAUGAGAGAAGGUUUCCCAGAAGAGAUGGGUGGACUGAGACUCAGCGCUGGUAAGUGACUGGCCCAUGGUUGCUCAGUUACUCCACGGCAGAGCUAAGCUAGAACCCAGAUCUGGCUUCAAAGUCCAGUGCUUGCUCUCUUGCCCUCAGUGCCUCUCCUGCUCUCAGUGCAAACCCUUCCUGAGGCUGCCAGCCGGAUCUCUGAACAGCAGUAGGGAGCCAGCUUCAGACAUUCAAUGAACCACAGGGUCACGGGCAAGCACCAGGAAGGUCAGAUCUUUCGUAGGCUCUGUUCUGAGAGGGGUCCCCUUGCACGUUCUCCCAGAGCCCAUGUUCAAGCCCCAGCUUUGCAUUUGUUACAUAUGAUCAUGUCUGGUUUCCAGGGCUUGUGUUUGAUCACUCUCUGUGUCCUCAAACUCAACAAUGGGGCUAGGCACUCCAAAGUUUCCUAAUGCAUGUAUUGAGUGAGUAGCUCCAGUCUUGAGACCAGAUGGGGAAAUGGCAGGGAGGCCUUGCGAUGCCUCAGGAGAGUGAGGCCUCUGUCUUGGGUGGUAAUCAAGGAGAGCGUGGGUGGCCACCUGCCUGAGUAGCUGUAGGAGGGCUUUUUUCCCAGGUGAGGGCCUGGCCAUCUACCAAUCAGAGGCUUGACACUCAGCUGUGAUCGUUUCUCCUUCCCAUACCUUUCUAGCACUGACCCCAAAAGCCUCAAUCACACUCAACCUAGGACAGGAACAGGUGGUAAAGCACAAACUCGGGACCUUAGCUGGGGCUAGAAACAUGCCCUUGGGGCAGGUGUGGCCCAUGCUGGUGGCUCUUGCAGCCUACUAGCCUUCAUCAGGAGGGAGUGAGAUGGAGGCUCUAGUGUCUGGGCCAGUGUGUCAUCUCACUCUUGAGAGCCAAGCCUUUGCUGAAGUUCACUGUAAGACGCUCCCCUGGAGAGGCACGCACUGGAGUGAGGGAGCGCCCUAAGGCUUUGGUUGGACAUGCAUGCUUCCUGACCCUCCGAUGUGAGAAUGUGGGGUGUGGAGACAAGAGUGACUCCAUCUUGGAUGCUGAUAUAGUUUGGCUCUGUGUCCCCAUCCAAAUCUCACCUUUAAUUGUAAUCCCUAUAAUCCCCACGUGUUAAGGGCAGGACCAGGUGGAGGUAAUUGAAUCUUGGGGGCAGUUUCUCCCAUGCUGUUCUCGUGAUAAUGAGUGAGUCUCAUGAGAUCUGAUGGUUUUGUAAGUGUCUGGCAUUUCCCCUGCUUGUACUCAUUCUCUCUCCUACUGCCCCGUGAAGAGGUGCCUUCCGCCAUGAUUGUCUGUUUCUUGAGGCCUCUCCAGCCAUCUGGAACCGUGAGUCAAUUAAACCUCUUUUCUUUAUAAAUUAUCCGGCCUCAGGUAUUUCUUCAUAGCAAUGUGAGAAUGAACUAAUACAGAUGCUAAUCUGCCCUGUUGACUUCUGAUUAGCCCUGGUCCUGUGAAAACCUCCUGAUUCUCACUUUAUUUACUGUCUUUAGCGUAAGAACAUGUCAGCCUUGAUGUUAUUGCACAAAUUAUAGGUUAUGAUGCAUGUAGCAUUCUUGCCUGUUCUGGAGGGCUGCCUUUAAUUGUCUUGCAUAGAGCAUGUAUACCCUUUCCCUGUGAUAUAUAAGCCCUGGGUCUGGGGAGCAACAGUGUGGAGAUCUACCUGUUUUGCUGCUCUCCAAGACUACACUUCCAUCCUUAAGUUCCCCAAAUAAAUCACUCUGUACUGACAAAUUGGAUUUGUCUGCCUCACUUUGGUGAUAAGUUAAAAUGACAUCACAC
RNAcentral lists this long non-coding RNA (2325 nucleotides) under Homo sapiens (human). RNAcentral's name for it is "HSALNT0232488". The record is from RNAcentral. Lineage: Eukaryota; Metazoa; Chordata; Mammalia; Primates; Hominidae.